AGCGGAGGAAAAGAAACCAACAGGGAUUGCCCCAGUAACGGCGAGUGAAGCGGCAACAGCUCAAAUUUGAAAUCUGGCUCUCGGGCCCGAGUUGUAAUUUGUAGAGGAUGCUUUUGGUGAGGUGCCUUCCGAGUUCCCUGGAACGGGACGCCAUAGAGGGUGAGAGCCCCGUCUGGUUGGACGCCGAUCCUCUGUAAAGCUCCUUCGACGAGUCGAGUAGUUUGGGAAUGCUGCUCUAAAUGGGAGGUAUAUGUCUUCUAAAGCUAAAUACCGGCCAGAGACCGAUAGCGCACAAGUAGAGUGAUCGAAAGAUGAAAAGAACUUUGAAAAGAGAGUUAAAAAGUACGUGAAAUUGUUGAAAGGGAAGCGCUUGUGACCAGACUUGGGCUUGGUUGAUCAUCCGGGGUUCUCCCCGGUGCACUCUUCCGGCUCAGGCCAGCAUCAGUUCGCCUCGGGGGAUAAAGGCUUCGGGAAUGUGGCUCUCUCCGGGGAGUGUUAUAGCCCGCUGCGUAAUACCCUGUGGCGGACUGAGGUUCGCGCAUUCGCAAGGAUGCUGGCGUAAUGGUCAUCAGUGACCCGUCUUGAAACACGGACCAAGGAGUCGUCUUCGUAUGCGAGUGUUCGGGUGUCAAACCCCUACGCGAAAUGAAAGUGAACGCAGGUGAGAGCUUCGGCGCAUCAUCGACCGAUCCUGAUGUUAUCGGAUGGAUUUGAGUAAGAGCAUACGGGGCCGGACCCGAAAGAAGGUGAACUAUGCCUGUGUAGGGUGAAGCCAGAGGAAACUCUGGUGGAGGCUCGCAGCGGUUCUGACGUGCAAAUCGAUCGUCAAACAUGGGCAUGGGGGCGAAAGACUAAUCGACUCU
This 863-nucleotide ribosomal RNA is filed under the name Fusarium cf. solani. RNAcentral's name for it is "partial large subunit ribosomal RNA". It matches the Rfam family "Eukaryotic large subunit ribosomal RNA", at positions 49 to 942 of the family's 3401-position model. The record is from RNAcentral. Lineage: Eukaryota; Fungi; Ascomycota; Sordariomycetes; Hypocreales; Nectriaceae.